RNAcentral lists this ribosomal RNA (253 nucleotides) under uncultured bacterium. Its description in RNAcentral is "partial 16S ribosomal RNA". It matches the Rfam family "Bacterial small subunit ribosomal RNA", at positions 524 to 776 of the family's 1533-position model. The record is from RNAcentral.
UACAGAGGUCUCAAGCGUUGUUCGGAUUCAUUGGGCGUAAAGGGUGCGUAGGCGGCGCGGUAAGUCGGGUGUGAAAUCUCGGAGCUUAACUCCGAAACUGCAUUCGAUACUGCCGUGCUUGAGGACUGGAGAGGAGACUGGAAUUUCGUGUGUAGGGGUGAAAUCCGUAGAUCUACGAAGGAACGCCAAAAGCGAAGGCAGCUCUCUGGGUCCCUACCGACGCUGGGGUGCGAAAGCAUGGGGAGCGAACAGG